AGCGAACGCUGGCGGCAGGCUUAACACAUGCAAGUCGAGCGGGCACUUUCGGGUGUCAGCGGCGGGCGGGUGCGUAACGCGUGGGAACGUGCCCUCUGGUUCGGAAUAACUCAGGGAAACUUGAGCUAAUACCGGAUACGCCCUUUUGGGGAAAGGCUUGCUGCCGGAGGAUCGGCCCGCGUCUGAUUAGCUAGUUGGUGAGGUAACGGCUCACCAAGGCGACGAUCAGUAGCUGGUCUGAGAGGAUGAUCAGCCACACUGGGACUGAGACACGGCCCAGACUCCUACGGGAGGCAGCAGUGGGGAAUACUGGACAAUGGGCGCAAGCCUGAUCCAGCCAUGCCGCGUGAGUGAUCAAGGCCUUAGGGUUGUAAAGCUCUUUUAUCCGGGACGAUAAUGACGGUACCGGAGGAAUAAGCCCCGGCUAACUUCGUG
RNAcentral lists this ribosomal RNA (435 nucleotides) under uncultured bacterium. RNAcentral's name for it is "partial 16S ribosomal RNA". It matches the Rfam family "Bacterial small subunit ribosomal RNA", at positions 29 to 507 of the family's 1533-position model. The record is from RNAcentral.